CAACAGGGAUUGCCUCAGUAACGGCGAGUGAAGCGGCAAAAGCUCAGAUUUGAAAUCUGGCGUCAUUUUGGCGUCCGAGUUGUAAUCUGUAGAGGAGUAUUCGAGUGUGGAUUUGGCUUAAGUUCCUUGGAACAGGACGUCAUAGAGGGUGAGAACCCCGUUAACGGCCUAUGUCUUAUGCUCAUGUGAAUCUCCUUCAACGAGUCGAGUUGUUUGGGAAUGCAGCUCUAAAUGGGUGGUAAAUUCCAUCUAAAGCUAAAUACUGGCAAGAGACCGAUAGCGCACAAGUAGAGUGAUCGAAAGAUGAAAAGAACUCUGAACAGAGAGUUAAAUAGUACGUGAAAUUGUUGAAAGGGAAGCACUUGCUACCAGACACGCCUGUAGUUGAUCAACCUUCAUUUUUGAUGGUGCACUCGGCUAUAGGUGGGUCAGCAUCAGUUACAACGGUGGGAUAAAGGCCUUGGGAAUGUAGCUUCCUUCGGGAAGUGUUAUAGCCCUUGGUGUAAUACCAUCUGAUGUGACUGAGGCCCGCGCUUCGGCGAGGAUGCUGGCAUAAUGGUCGUAAGUGACCCGUCUUGAAACACG
Molecule: ribosomal RNA, 585 nt
Filed under: Peziza varia
Lineage: Eukaryota; Fungi; Ascomycota; Pezizomycetes; Pezizales; Pezizaceae
Description: LSU rRNA
Rfam family: Eukaryotic large subunit ribosomal RNA
Source: RNAcentral